Long non-coding RNA from Anopheles merus, 1038 nucleotides. RefSeq lists it as uncharacterized. The record is from RefSeq and is a predicted model, not a curated record. Lineage: Eukaryota; Metazoa; Arthropoda; Insecta; Diptera; Culicidae. The transcript has 2 exons.
GAAAAAACGGUUCGUUACCGAGAAUGCGGGGAACACACAAAAGCAGUUUCGGUACCGUUCUUUCCCAGAAAUCCAGCAUAUGAAGAAAGCUGCCCAAUCGCAACAUGUGCAUCUUUUUCGAGUGCAAAUGCAGCAGCAAAUCGAGCAUAAAUCGGGUGUUUCUCCGGGAAAUGAAUGGUGUUAAACCGCACCGUGCAUGAGCGUGUAUGUGUGUGUGUGUGAAGGGAAGUGAAGGGCUGGCUGCACAUCGCUAGCGCAGCAUGUGUGCGUCGAGUGUGGUGGUUAGAUGUUGGGUGUUAGAAGGUAAGACUGUGCUUCAUAGGAUCAUUUCUAUAGGCAAGUUUUCAACUCACUUUCACUCGAAAGUCGAGCUAUUCCAACCCACGAUGAUGAGGUGUAGUGGCUGUCCUGGAGCGUGAAACUGUCGGAUCUCGGCUGCGUCUCUGACGCGUCGAUCUGUGCUUGAUGAUCGUAUCCAAUUGCAAAGGGCAGACACAUUCUGAGUGGUUGUUUUCCUACACAUCUUAAACAUGAAACUAAACAUUUGAGACGAAUAUCAAUCAUUGUGCUAUUUUAAUAAGAACUGUGGAAGCGUGUGGAUCUGCUAAGAAUUAAUCUAUAACGAUUAUCUUCCCGGACGGCGUCAUCGGGAAGCUGUCCACGAACCGCACCCCGCCCCGCAGCCGCUUGAAGUCCGCCACCUGCCCCUCGACAUGCCGCACAAUGUCCUCCUCCCGCAGCGGCGUCGCACCACCGCCGCCACCCACCUUCCGCUCGACCACCGCCAUCGGCAGAUCGCUCGAACCGUCCGGCGCCGGCACACCGAUCACGCACACCUGCUUCACCCCGUCCAUGCGCUGUAUGAUGCACUCCAGAUCGGACGGCGACACCUGGUAGUUGUUGUACUUGAUGAUGUCCUUGAUGCGAUCGACCACGUACAGGCUGCCGUCCGCAUCGAUGUACCCGAUGUCGCCGCUCCGGAAGAACCCGUCCUCGGUCAGUGCGUUCGCGGUCGCUUCCGGAUUGUGCAGGUAACCC